AAGUUCAGAUAGCCAUGCACGUCUAAGUACAAACUAAAUGAUGGUGAAACUGCAAAUGGCUCAUUACAACGGUUAUGAUGUACCCGGGAGUUCCGAUGGAUAUUUCCAGUAACACUAGAACUAAUACAUGUCCCUGCGUUUAUUAGUUUCGCACAGUCCGUCGCUGAGUCAUGGUAAACAGUUGAUCGACUCGACGUCCCGGAACAGUUUCCGCCCCAUCAGCUUCGAUGGUUGGGUAUUGGCCUACCAUUGCAACAACGGGUAACGAGGAAUUAGGGUUUGAUUUCGGAGAGGGAGCCUGAGAAACGGCUACCACAUCUACGGAUGGCAGCAGGCGCGCAAAUUACCCAAUGCAGACACUGUGAGGUAGUGACGAGAAAUAAUAAAGCGGGACUUCUGUUUCGCUAUUAUAAUGAGGAAUAACCAAAGGUCAUUCCGAUUAGCAACUGAUGGGAAAGUCUGGUGCCAGCAGCCGCGGUAAUACCAGCGUCAGUAGCAUA
RNAcentral lists this ribosomal RNA (500 nucleotides) under uncultured Myrionecta. Its description in RNAcentral is "SSU rRNA". It matches the Rfam family "Eukaryotic small subunit ribosomal RNA", at positions 40 to 601 of the family's 1831-position model. The record is from RNAcentral. Lineage: Eukaryota; Ciliophora; Litostomatea; Cyclotrichida; Mesodiniidae.